UACGUAGGGUGCAAGCGUUGUCCGGAAUUAUUGGGCGUAAAGAGCGUGUAGGCGGCCCGACCAGUCCGCUGUGAAAGUCCAGGGCUCAACCCUGGAAUGCCGGUGGAUACUGUCGGGCUAGAGUCCGGAAGGGGCGAGUGGAAUUCCUGGUGUAGCGGUGAAAUGCGCAGAUAUCAGGAGGAACACCAAUGGCGAAGGCAGCUCGCUGGGACGUGACUGACGCUGAGACGCGAAAGCGUGGGGAGCGAAAGGG
RNAcentral lists this ribosomal RNA (253 nucleotides) under uncultured bacterium. RNAcentral's name for it is "partial 16S ribosomal RNA". It matches the Rfam family "Bacterial small subunit ribosomal RNA", at positions 524 to 776 of the family's 1533-position model. The record is from RNAcentral.